UACGGGGGGGGCAAGCGUUGUUCGGAAUUACUGGGCGUAAAGGGCGCGUAGGCGGGCUGACAAGUCUGGGGUGAAAUGCCGCGGCUCAACCGUGGAACUGCCUUAGAUACUGUCGGCCUCGAGGGAGGUAGGGGCGUGCGGAACUGUAGGUGGAGCGGUGAAAUGCGUUGAUAUCUACAGGAACUCCGGUGGCGAAAGCGGCGCGCUGGACCUCUUCUGACGCUGAGGCGCGAAAGCUAGGGGAGCAAACGGG
Molecule: ribosomal RNA, 253 nt
Filed under: uncultured bacterium
Lineage: Bacteria
Description: partial 16S ribosomal RNA
Rfam family: Bacterial small subunit ribosomal RNA
Source: RNAcentral